RNAcentral lists this ribosomal RNA (483 nucleotides) under Blastocystis sp. RNAcentral describes it as "SSU rRNA". It matches the Rfam family "Eukaryotic small subunit ribosomal RNA", at positions 460 to 954 of the family's 1831-position model. The record is from RNAcentral. Lineage: Eukaryota; Bigyra; Opalinata; Blastocystidae.
GGAGGUAGUGACAAUAAAUCACAAUGCGGAACUAUUAGUUUUGCAAUUGGAUUGAGAACAACGUACAAACCUUAUCGAUAAACAAUUGGAGGGCAAGUCUGGUGCCAGCAGCCGCGGUAAUUCCAGCUCCAAUAGCGUAUAUUAACGUUGUUGCAGUUAAAAAGCUCGUAGUUGAAGUGAAGUGAACAAAGAAGAGAAGAAUCUUCGGAUUCGGAUCUAAUGCGUUGACUCUUUCCAAAGUCAAUGUAUGGGUAUUCAUUUAUCUAUAUAUUGUGUUUGGUCGUUUACUGUGAGAAAAUUAUAGUGUUCAAAGCAGACGUUUGUUUGAAUACAUUAGCAUGGAAUAAUCAGAUAAGGCUUUCAUGUGUAUUUGAUUGGUUUGGAUAUGAAAGCAAGGUUAAUAGGGACAGUUGGGGGUAUUCAUAUUCAAUAGUCAGAGGUGAAAUUCUCGGAUUUAUGGAAGAUGAACAAGUGCGAAAGCAA